AUACCCUGGUAGUNCACGCUGUAANCGAUNGAACCCAGNNGUCUGCCAGCAUNNUNGUAGGUGGCGCAGCUAACGCAUUAAGNUNCCCNCCUGGGGAGUACGGUCGCAAGAUUAAAACUCAANGGAAUUGACGGGGGCCCGCACAAGCGGUGGAGCAUGUNGUUUAUUUCGACGCAACGCGAAGAACCUUACCAAGGCUUGACAUGCAGGGAAAAGCGGCGGAAACGUCGUGUCCGCAAGGGCCCUGCACAGGUGGUGCAUGGCUGUCGUCAGCUCGUGUCGUGAGAUGUUGGGUUAAGUCCCGCAACGAGCGCAACCCUUACCCGUAGUUGCCAGCGCGUCAUGGCGGGAACUCUACGGGGACUGCCCGGGUUAACCGGGAGGAAGGUGGGGAUGAUGUCAAGUCCUCAUGGCCCUUAUGUCCAGGGCUACACACGUGCUACAAUGGGCGAUACAAACCGUUGCAAAGUCGCGAGAUGGAGCUAAUCGGAGAAAGUCGUCCUCAGUUCGGAUUGCAGUCUGCAACUCGACUACAUGAAGGUGGAAUCGCUAGUAAUCGUGUAUCAGAANNAUACG
This 576-nucleotide ribosomal RNA is filed under the name uncultured Acidobacteriota bacterium. RNAcentral's name for it is "uncultured Acidobacteria bacterium partial 16S ribosomal RNA". It matches the Rfam family "Bacterial small subunit ribosomal RNA", at positions 782 to 1361 of the family's 1533-position model. Lineage: Bacteria; Pseudomonadati; Acidobacteriota. The record is from RNAcentral.